CCUACGGGAGGCAGCAGUGGGGAAUAUUGCGCAAUGGACGAAAGUCUGACGCAGCAACGCCGCGUGGGUGAUGAAGGUCUUCGGAUUGUAAAGCCCUGUCUUCGAGGACGAUAAUGACGGUACUCGAGGAGGAAGCCACGGCUAACUACGUGCCAGCAGCCGCGGUAAU
Molecule: ribosomal RNA, 169 nt
Filed under: uncultured bacterium
Lineage: Bacteria
Description: partial 16S ribosomal RNA
Rfam family: Bacterial small subunit ribosomal RNA
Source: RNAcentral